CCCAGACUCCUACGGGAGGCAGCAGUGGGGGAUAUUGCACAAUGGGGGGAACCCUGAUGCAGCGACGCCGCGUGGGUGAAGGAGCGUUUCGGCGCGUAAAGCCCUCUCGGCAGGGAAGAAGGAGGACGGUACCUGACUAAGAGGCCCCGGCUAACUACGUGCCAGCAGCCGCGGUAAUACGUAGGGGGCAAGCGUUAUCCGGGUUUACUGGGUGUAAAGGGGGCGCAGACGGCAGCGCAAGCCAGGAGUGAAAGCCCGGGGCCCAACCCCGGGACUGCUCUUGGAACUGGGCGGCUGGGGUGCAGGAGGGGCAGGCGGAAUUCCUGGUGUAGCGGUGAAAUGCGUAGAUAUCAGGAGGAACACCGGUGGCGAAGGCGGCCUGCUGGACUGCGACUGACGUUGAGGCCCGAAAGCGUGGGGAGCAAACAGGAUUAGAUACCCUUGUAA
This 447-nucleotide ribosomal RNA is filed under the name uncultured bacterium. RNAcentral describes it as "bacterial SSU rRNA". It matches the Rfam family "Bacterial small subunit ribosomal RNA", at positions 330 to 793 of the family's 1533-position model. The record is from RNAcentral.